RNAcentral lists this ribosomal RNA (468 nucleotides) under uncultured bacterium. RNAcentral describes it as "partial 16S ribosomal RNA". It matches the Rfam family "Bacterial small subunit ribosomal RNA", at positions 28 to 507 of the family's 1533-position model. The record is from RNAcentral.
GACGAACGCUGGCGGCGUGCUUAACACAUGCAAGUCGAACGGAAAGGCCCUGCUUUUGUGGGGUGCUCGAGUGGCGAACGGGUGAGUAACACGUGAGUAACCUGCCCUUGACUUUGGGAUAACUUCAGGAAACUGGGGCUAAUACCGGAUAGGAGCUCCUGCUGCAUGGUGGGGGUUGGAAAGUUUCGGCGGUUGGGGGUGGACUCGCGGCUUAUCAGCUUGUUGGUGGGGUAGUGGCUUACCAAGGCUUUGACGGGUAGCCGGCCUGAGAGGGUGACCGGCCACAUUGGGACUGAGAUACGGCCCAGACUCCUACGGGAGGCGGCAGUGGGGAAUAUUGCACAAUGGGCGGAAGCCUGAUGCAGCAACGCCGCGUGCGGGAUGACGGCCUUCGGGUUGUAAACCGCUUUCGCCUGUGACGAAGCGUGAGUGACGGUAAUGGGUAAAGAAGCACCGGCUAACUACGUG